Long non-coding RNA from Episyrphus balteatus (marmalade hoverfly), 241 nucleotides. RefSeq lists it as uncharacterized. The transcript is spliced from 2 exons. The record is from RefSeq and is a predicted model, not a curated record. NCBI's taxonomy places the organism in Eukaryota, Metazoa, Arthropoda, Insecta, Diptera, Syrphidae.
AAAAUCCUUUGAAUUAGGUACGAAACAUCUGUUCAAGAUAAAGAAUCGAUGCUUCACUCUGUUCAAAAGGUUAGGAAACUGUUCCCCCAGGAAUUUGGAAGCAGAAUGGGGCGAUGGAUAAAUAGAGAAAUGUCAAAACAUUACUUAUUCACCUGACUACAGAUGAAGGUUGGUGAAUAAAAUCAUAUGGAAUGGUGGAAUUGCGUAGAAUACUUCAUAUCCGGAGAGGAGAGCGUUUCAG